GCUAAGAAUAUUCCGCAAUGGACGAAAGUCUGACGGAGCGACGCCGCGUGGAUGAUGAAGGCCGGAAGGUUGUAAAAUCCUUUUAUGACUGAGGAAUAAGGAAGUUGAGAGAAACGGCUUCUGGUGACUGUAGGUCAUGAAUAAGCAACGGCUAAUUACGUGCCAGCAGCCGCGGUAACACGUAAGUUGCGAGCGUUGUUCGGAAUUAUUGGGCGUAAAGGGCAUGUAGGCGGUUCUGCAAGUCUGGUGUGAAAUACCGGGGCUCAACCCCGGAACUGCGUUGGAAACUGCAGAACUUGAGUCGCUGAGGGGCAGCCAGAAUUCCAGGUGUAGGGGUGAAAUCUGUAGAUAUCUGGAAGAAUACCAAUGGCGAAGGCAGGCUGCCAGCAGAUGACUGACGCUGAGGUGCGAAGGUGCGGGGAGCAAACAGG
Molecule: ribosomal RNA, 431 nt
Filed under: uncultured rumen bacterium
Lineage: Bacteria
Description: bacterial SSU rRNA
Rfam family: Bacterial small subunit ribosomal RNA
Source: RNAcentral